This is a long non-coding RNA of Lotus japonicus, 1103 nucleotides long. RefSeq lists it as uncharacterized. The transcript has 3 exons. Lineage: Eukaryota; Viridiplantae; Streptophyta; Magnoliopsida; Fabales; Fabaceae. The record is from RefSeq and is a predicted model, not a curated record.
UCUAAAAUAACAGAGGGAAGAAGCACUACUAAAAAUUCGGGAUUUUAGCGGCGGCUUGUGCAACCGACACAAAUUUUCUAUCGAAGAACCCCAAUGCUCUCUUCCCAUCGUUUGCACGACCUCACCACGUUCCCAUCCUCUCCUCUGGCGUGACCCUCCCUUCCGUCGACCUCGCUCACCUCUUGGUCUCUCACCGCGUGGAAGCUUCUCCACGCUGCUUCCUCCCUCAACGUUAUCCCUCCCUUCCUCCUCCUCGCCCUUCUCUCUUUCUCCUUCACUGCUCAUUCGUUCCACAAGGCCUCCUGAAGGUUGAUGCGGUGAUGGCCAAACCCUCAACACCUCCAUAGAACUCCUAACAUCGUGGUUCAUUCUGGUUCAUCGACUCUGUAAGCCAUGAUUUUAGGUUUUGACUUGAAGGUGUGUCUCUUGCGGCUCUGGAUCGUAGGUGGGUGUCUCUUGAAGGUGAUGGUUGCAGGUCAAAAAGCAAAGAGAGGAAACCAUUAUCCAACAAGCAAAGAAACAAGCUGCAACACUUGAUGCACAUAACAUCACUUCUGGCCAGCUUCUCAAUGUAUGUUAUUCUUAAAUUAUCACAUCUCUGGACUUCUUGUGUUUCUUUUCUAUAUGUAUACAUCAACGAUGAACAUUUUGAAUCUGUUUCCCAAGAGAAUGCAAUGUUGAUGAAGGUCCUAGCGACAAAAAUUAAUCUUUUUAUGUAAAUUUGGUCUAUUGUUUUGUAUUCUAUUUGCUUUCAAUGUGAUUAUGGUGGUAAUAGUUUUUGUUUUUUGGGUUUUGCCUCAACUUGUAUGGACAGUGUUGUAAUAGAAUCAUGUUAGGCAGAGCUACAAAAGUCUCAAACCAAUUUUCUGAGACUGCGGAAGGAAAAUUCAGAACUUGCACUGACAAACAUUCAAAUAAUGGCGAUAAUGACCUAAUGUCUUUUUUCUUUUAUGCUGUAUUGACUAUUGAGCUUAAUUCCAAUUGAUUUUCACACCACAUAUUCUUGAGCAUUUGGUCAAUUUGCAACUGGAGUCACUGAUGCUGCUGCUUUUAUAUUGGGAACAAGGAAGAUCUUACUCACGGCAAGUACAUACAUGUUGUCA